Apis florea (little honeybee) is the source of this 2315-nucleotide long non-coding RNA. The record is from RefSeq and is a predicted model, not a curated record. NCBI's taxonomy places the organism in Eukaryota, Metazoa, Arthropoda, Insecta, Hymenoptera, Apidae.
ACACACACACACACACACACACACACACACAUUUUCCCGCGUUCCAAUCCUUUUGGAUACAGCUUUUACAUUUCAAAGUGAUGUAAAGUGGUGAUCACUUUCUCGUUACAACGGGAGUUAAUUGAACAAUCGCGAUCCUUUGCGUUUAAAGAUAUCAACGGCCAGCGAUCAACAAUCUCAUUAUUUCUUUGUUACACGUUGCAUGGUGAACACAGUAUUUUUAUGAAACUCCCGCUAGAUUAUCUAUCAAAUCAUUUCAAAGUUAUAUUGUUAAAUUACUUUGUUCAAGAAGAAAUUACUGUUAUAUAUUAACGUUUAUCUAUUAUUACUAGAGAGGAGAAAGAAAUUUUGUUUUAAAAGAAAAGCGUGGAGUUGGAGAACGGCGACAGUAUUAGGGUUAAAUUGGAACGUACAAGGGUCGAUUCUGUUUCUCACGGAUAAUUCUUAAGAUACAUGCGAUUAGACGAAAUCAGCCUAGUACGUAUAUACAUACAUAUACAUAUAUAUUAUACACACUCCCACAUAUACACUCGAGUACACAAACAGACAAAAAAAAAUAUAUAUAUAUAUAUAUACAUAUGUAUAAAUAUAAAUAUUAUGAAUUUUACUACGGAUUGCAGUGUGCAUAUGCAAUUUGAUCGAGAAACAACGAGGUCUCGAUAAGCGAUUUGACGAUUUUUGUGAUACCUGUCAAAUAUGUAAACGGCAAAUCGAUCUUCUCGAUAGACGACCACGCUUUUCGUUUGUCUCAGUCAUGGUGUAAUUUCGUACGGACGCCUGUACGAGCGUAUUUUCAACGGAGACAAGACAAAUGCUGCACCAACGACCAUGUUAUUUACACCUCACGCAGAAUGAUUUUCGGCUUAUAUCUAGAGAAAUCGCUGAUCGCGUGCGAGUUGAGCGUUAACGAGGAUUAAACGCAAGAUAAAAGAAAAAAAAGAAAAAAAUGAGUACAAUGAAAUCUAACGUAAAAAAAAAAAAAAAAAAAAAAAAAAAUAGAAAAAAGAAAAGAACAAGAAAAAAAAGAAAGAAUUCAUAAAUAAAAAUAUAACCAGAUGAUGUUAAAGUAUAAAUGUCGCGUUGGAAUCAAAUCGUUGGCGAACGAGCGUCCAGGAUUGACAAUUGAACACACAAAUCGAUUGCAUCGUCCCCUUUUCUUUUGUAUCGUAACAAGAUACUUCGUGAAUUACUUUUACGGAAAUACGAAAAUCCAUUGCGAAAAUCCUGAACAAUUCGAAUAGCGAAAAAGAUCAGCCAUCCGUUAUUAUUUGUUGAAUUUUAAUUUUAAAAAAAUUGUAUCGUUCGUUGCAUCCUCGUCGUUCAAAAUUAGUGAAUAUCGAAUAUCGAAGAUCAAUCGGACGCUUGACGUUCGUUCGACAUAGCAGUUCCAUCGCGACCGAUAUCGCGUGCAAUAAAACAAAAUAUGUAAACAAUAUUAAUAUCAUUAUAUACAACAUUUUUACGGCAUAUACGAAUACGAUGUAGAGAAAUGCAGGUGAAACAAGUUUAGGAUAAUAUUACUUGUUGUUGUCUACCAUAGCGUUGUAGUUAUAUACAAUACAGGUAGAAAAUUAUAGGCAAGCCGAAGCGAAUGUGUGAAAGAACAAAUGCGAGAGCGAAACGUGAGAGAGAGAGAGAGAGAGAGAGAGAUGCGAAUGAGUCGAGAAAGAGAGAGAAGAAAAUUUGAUGCAAUUUGACGAGCGUACAUGUUAUUCUUACUUAAUACAACUAUAUAUAUUCACAUAUAUAUGUAUUAUACAUAUAUCUAUGUGUAUAUAUACAUACAUACAUACAUAAAUACGAGGAAGCUAGUUAUUUAAAAGCAACAACAACCAACAGAAAAAAAAUCAAUGAUUAAUAUUAUAUACAGAAGUCUAUACAUACAAACUUUAAAGAACGUGUGCCUAUGUGCGCACGUGCGUACGCGCGCGUACGUGCGGACACUCGACAACCCCAAAUCCACCCGAUUCUUACUUCCUACUCGAUCAACCAUUCUGCAGCCUCUCUCUUCUUUCUCAAUUCUGACAUCCAUCCAUCCAUCCAUCCCUUCUCUCUGUCCCCUUUCACUCCCAUCCACCCAUCCAUCCAUCCAUCCAUCCAUCCAUUCCUUCCCUCAACCCCUCUGACCAUUCCAUCCCUCAUCCUAUCGCUCUUUUUCUCUCUUUCUAUCUCUCUGUCUCUCCCUCCAUUCUAUUUCACACGCACUUGCGCACAUAUCCAUGACGCAUUAUCGUAGCCGUGUUGUGUAGGGAAUGUCUUUAAUGAAUAAGAUACGAUUUCUCAUGUUACAUGUUAUAAGAAACAAAAAAAAAAAA